CAACCUGCCUCAUACUCGGGGAUAGCCUUUCGAAAGAAAGAUUAAUAUCCGAUAGCAUAUAUUUCCCGCAUGGGUUUUAUAUUAAAGAAAUUCGGUAUGAGAUGGGGAUGCGUUCCAUUAGUUUGUUGGGGGGGUAACGGCCCACCAAGACUACGAUGGAUAGGGGUUCUGAGAGGAAGGUCCCCCACAUUGGAACUGAGACACGGUCCAAACUCCUACGGGAGGCAGCAGUGAGGAAUAUUGGUCAAUGGACGCGAGUCUGAACCAGCCAAGUAGCGUGAAGGAUGACUGCCCUAUGGGUUGUAAACUUCUUUUAUAUGGGAAUAAAGUUGUCCACGUGUGGAUUUUUGUAUGUACCAUAUGAAUAAGGAUCGGCUAACUCCGUGCCAGCAGCCGCGGUAAUACGGAGGAUCCGAGCGUUAUCCGGAUUUAUUGGGUUUAAAGGGAGCGUAGAUGGAUGUUUAAGUCAGUUGUGAAAGUUUGCGGCUCAACCGUAAAAUUGCAGUUGAUACUGGAUAUCUUGAGUGCAGUUGAGGCAGGCGGAAUUCGUGGUGUAGCGGUGAAAUGCUUAGAUAUCACGAAGAACUCCGAUUG
This 594-nucleotide ribosomal RNA is filed under the name uncultured Bacteroidota bacterium. RNAcentral describes it as "bacterial SSU rRNA". It matches the Rfam family "Bacterial small subunit ribosomal RNA", at positions 122 to 715 of the family's 1533-position model. Lineage: Bacteria; Pseudomonadati; Bacteroidota. The record is from RNAcentral.